This 513-nucleotide ribosomal RNA is filed under the name uncultured bacterium. RNAcentral's name for it is "partial 16S ribosomal RNA". It matches the Rfam family "Bacterial small subunit ribosomal RNA", at positions 28 to 507 of the family's 1533-position model. The record is from RNAcentral.
GACGAACGCUGGCGGCGUGCUUAACACAUGCAAGUCGAACGAAAAGAGGGAAAGAGCUUGCUCUUUCCGGAAUUGAGUGGCAAACGGGUGAGUAACACGUAAACAACCUGCUUUCAGGAUGGGGACAACAGACGGAAACGACUGCUAAUACCGAAUAAGUUCCAAGAGCCGCAUGGCCCAUGGAAGAAAAGGUGGCCUCUACCUGUAAGCUAUCGCCUGAAGAGGGGUUUGCGUCUGAUUAGCUGGUUGGAGGGGUAACGGCCCACCAAGGCGACGAUCAGUAGCCGGUCUGAGAGGAUGAACGGCCACACUGGAACUGAGACACGGUCCAGACUCCUACGGGAGGCAGCAGUGGGGAAUCUUCCGCAAUGGGCGAAAGCCUGACGGAGCAACGCCGCGUGAGUGAUGACGGCCUUCGGGUUGUAAAACUCUGUGAUCCGGGACGAAAAGGCAGAGUGCGAAGAACAAACUGCAUUGACGGUACCGGAAAAGCAAGCCACGGCUAACUACGUG